AUACAACCCCAAGAAUAUAAAAUCAAAUAUAAAACCCGUGUCCCUUUGUUAGGGCUGCAUCCAGCCCUAGAGAGAAGAUCAGCCUUUCAUGGAGUGGUGGACGGCAGCAGCAGCACAGCAGCGGGCUCCCAUUCCUUCCUUCUCUUUCUCCUUUGAAAUAUUCCCAAAUUAGCCAAACCUCUCUCCCUCCUUUGUUUUUUUAUUGUCGUGGUAACUCCCUGAGAAGAGCCAAGCUUCUUCUUCUCCCGGUGGGGAACUUCGCCUCUGAGGAGAGAUUGAUGGGGAUCAGUCCCCGGUGGGGAAGAGGGAAUGCCCCCCGGUGGGGAAGGAGGAAUGGAAGAGAAUGCCUCUAGCCUUCAUCAUCGACUCCCUUUUAUAGCCUUCACAGCCUCUGUUAUCAACCUUCAGAUAUAUUCUUCCGAGUGAGAAGAUAAAGGAGAGGAACGGUCUCUGUUCCGCGGACGUGGGUGAGUCUCUUGAGAAGAUCCAAUCCAGACGUUGGGAGCUGAUCACGUUUGGCUUAAUCCUUGGAAGCUUAUCCUCGGAUGCUGGAACGCGUUGGAUGGAGUUGAUCCGGAAU
RNAcentral lists this long non-coding RNA (580 nucleotides) under Phoenix dactylifera (date palm). Its description in RNAcentral is "long non-coding RNA (PDAC_LNC020720)". Lineage: Eukaryota; Viridiplantae; Streptophyta; Magnoliopsida; Arecales; Arecaceae. The record is from RNAcentral.